This 191-nucleotide small nuclear RNA is filed under the name Diplodia corticola. Its description in RNAcentral is "Botryosphaeria corticola U2 spliceosomal RNA". It matches the Rfam family "U2 spliceosomal RNA". Rfam says of the family: U2 is a small nuclear RNA (snRNA) component of the spliceosome (involved in pre-mRNA splicing). Complementary binding between U2 snRNA (in an area lying towards the 5' end but 3' to hairpin I) and the branchpoint sequence (BPS) of the intron results the bulging out of an unpaired adenosine, on the BPS, which initiates a nucleophilic attack at the intronic 5' splice site, thus starting the first of two transesterification reactions that mediate splicing. The record is from Rfam by way of RNAcentral. Lineage: Eukaryota; Fungi; Ascomycota; Dothideomycetes; Botryosphaeriales; Botryosphaeriaceae.
UCAGCUCUCUUUGCCUUUUGGCUUAGAUCAAGUGUAGUACCUGUUCUUUUUAGAUUAAUCUCUAGAACGCCCCUACGGGGGUAGACUACUUUGCUUGUUUUUGGAAACGGGUCGGUGGCCGCUGAGCUCCGCUCAUGUCACUGAUCACAGUGUCGCUCGUAUUGCACUGCUUCGGGCUGAUGCGAACCAUC